AUACGGAGGAUCCGAGCGUUAUCCGGAUUUAUUGGGUUUAAAGGGUGCGCAGGCGGCCAUUUAAGUCAGCGGUUAAAUCGUGGGGCUCAACCCCAUUCUGCCGUUGAUACUGGGUGGCUUGAUUGCGGUCGAGGUUGGCGGAAUUCGUUGUGUAGCGGUGAAAUGCAUAGAUAUGACGAAGAACACCGAGUGCGUAGGCAGCUGACCAGACCGCAAAUGACGCUCAUGCACGAAAGUGCGGGGAUCGAACAGGAUUAGAUACCCUGGUAGUCCGCACAGUAAACGAUGAAUACUUGUUUUCGGCGAUAUAAUGUCGGAGGCAAAGCGAAAGCGAUAAGUAUUCCACCUGGGGAGUACGCCGGCAACGGUGAAACUCAAAUGAAUUGGCGGGG
RNAcentral lists this ribosomal RNA (392 nucleotides) under uncultured bacterium. Its description in RNAcentral is "partial 16S ribosomal RNA". It matches the Rfam family "Bacterial small subunit ribosomal RNA", at positions 523 to 918 of the family's 1533-position model. The record is from RNAcentral.